ACACGAUCUCACUUGUCCUCGGAUGUUCAUCAUGUGAUCUUUUAUCAACACAACUGUGGCAGGGCCCUUGCUAACUUGCUCCCAUGUGAACCUGUGCUUGCCUACGUGUGGUAUGGCAGAAAUGCCGUGAACGCUUCUGACCUUGUCUUCUCAUUUUUAGGCAGGUGAUGUGACGACACUGAAUUGGUCCGGAACCCUGCCUGUGCUCCAUGCCAGCUACCAGUCCUAGGUUGGCACAUUCCAUUGGGGACAUCCAUGGGAGAGCUAUGGCCAUUAACAAGUCCUGAGACCUGAUCUGAUGCCAUCAGUGGCCCAGCUGCUCUACUGCCUCUCUUCCUGGAUCUCCUGCUUAUGACAACUGACAACAAAGAUAUUUGACUCCGGAAGAUGCUCCCCACAGCUCACCUGAGAGGACUAUCCAGUACCCCACCCCCACCCCCACUGUGCCCUGUGCCAUCCACCUCUGAGUCCCCAACUUUAAGUAGACCCUGCUUCUCACCCAUGUCCCAAUUCCCACCAGGAGCCUUGCAUUUCAGAUCUGAGCAGCCCUGGCUUAGAAUCCUGAAGUGGGGGUGGGUAGGCAGACCCCCGGGGACUGAGCAGGGAGGGGAAGGGGGUUCUGCUCUUGGCUUUCCAAGUUCUCGGUAUGUAUAGCCCUUUGAAUAAUAAACAUAUAUCAUAUAAUGUAAA
RNAcentral lists this long non-coding RNA (690 nucleotides) under Mus pahari (shrew mouse). Its description in RNAcentral is "lncRNA (MGP_PahariEiJ_G0006363.1)". Lineage: Eukaryota; Metazoa; Chordata; Mammalia; Rodentia; Muridae. The record is from RNAcentral.